Molecule: long non-coding RNA, 422 nt
Organism: Onychostoma macrolepis
Lineage: Eukaryota; Metazoa; Chordata; Actinopteri; Cypriniformes; Cyprinidae
Exons: 3
Source: RefSeq, a predicted model, not a curated record
CGCUCUUUUCAAACGGGGCGUAUUAACGUUACACAGCGUUUCUGGUCUCGUGAAUGGCGCUUCGGAAGAGAAGUUCAUCGUUCCAAACAAAAAUGAACAACUGAAUCGUUUCACAAGGCUGUUCAAAGCGUCUCAGUCAGUUCCCUAGCUAUGGCAUCGACAAUGAAAGCUCCAUUCUCCUCCUCUGACUUACAUGGUGCGCCAGACAGUACAGUCAAUGCAAUGAUCAGAUUACAGGCCUCACACUAGGAGGAUGAGUUGCGCAGUGAAGCAGCCUAGCAACAGGCUAGACAUACAACAACCUCCUGCUCUGCUCAAGUAGGAAAGUUCACUGACAAACCUUGCUCAGUCAUCUAUUUGUAUAUUAGUCCCCACCCUGUCUCUCCCCAUCACAUAGUCGAUGUGACUCACACUGCUGGUGG